Molecule: ribosomal RNA, 465 nt
Filed under: Vreelandella stevensii
Lineage: Bacteria; Pseudomonadati; Pseudomonadota; Gammaproteobacteria; Oceanospirillales; Halomonadaceae
Description: partial 16S ribosomal RNA
Rfam family: Bacterial small subunit ribosomal RNA
Source: RNAcentral
CCUACGGGCGGCAGCAGUGGGGAAUAUUGGACAAUGGGGGGAACCCUGAUCCAGCCAUGCCGCGUGUGUGAAGAAGGCCCUCGGGUUGUAAAGCACUUUCAGUGAGGAAGAACGCCUGGUGGUUAAUACCCAUCAGGAAAGACAUCACUCACAGAAGAAGCACCGGCUAACUCCGUGCCAGCAGCCGCGGUAAUACGGAGGGUGCGAGCGUUAAUCGGAAUUACUGGGCGUAAAGCGCGCGUAGGUGGCUUGAUAAGCCGGUUGUGAAAGCCCCGGGCUCAACCUGGGAACGGCAUCCGGAACUGUCAAGCUAGAGUGCAGGAGAGGAAGGUAGAAUUCCCGGUGUAGCGGUGAAAUGCGUAGAGAUCGGGAGGAAUACCAGUGGCGAAGGCGGUCUUCUGGACUGACACUGACACUGAGGUGCGAAAGCGUGGGUAGCAAACAGGAUUAGAUACCCGGGUAGUC